Molecule: ribosomal RNA, 371 nt
Filed under: uncultured organism
Description: bacterial SSU rRNA
Rfam family: Bacterial small subunit ribosomal RNA
Source: RNAcentral
CGUAGGGUGCGAGCGUUAAUCGGAAUUACUGGGCGUAAAGCGUGCGCAGGCGGUUUUGUAAGACAGAUGUGAAAUCCCCGGGCUCAACCUGGGACCUGCAUUUGUGACUGCAAGGCUAGAGUACGGUAGAGGGGGAUGGAAUUCCGCGUGUAGCAGUGAAAUGCGUAGAUAUGCGGAGGAACACCGAUGGCGAAGGCAAUCCCCUGGACCUGUACUGACGCUCAUGCACGAAAGCGUGGGGAGCAAACAGGAUUAGAUACCCUGGUAGUCCACGCCCUAAACGAUGUCAACUGGUUGUUGGGUCUUUACUGACUCAGUAACGAAGCUAACGCGUGAAGUUGACCGCCUGGGGACGUACGGCCGCAAGGUUG